UAUGUCUGUAGUGAAAGCGUGUGGCUCAACCAUAUACACAUUACAGAAACUGCUCAGCUAGAGGGCGAGAGAGGUAACUAGAAUUCCUAGUGUAGGAGUGGAAUCCGUAGAUAUUAGGAGGAAUACCGAUGGCGUAGGCAGGUUACUGGCUCGUCCCUGACACUAAGGCACGAAAGCGUGGGUAGCAAACGGGAUUAGAUACCCCGGUAGUCCACGCCGUAAACGAUGAAUGCUA
Molecule: ribosomal RNA, 235 nt
Filed under: uncultured Candidatus Saccharibacteria bacterium
Lineage: Bacteria; Candidatus Saccharimonadota
Description: partial 16S ribosomal RNA
Rfam family: Bacterial small subunit ribosomal RNA
Source: RNAcentral